This 466-nucleotide ribosomal RNA is filed under the name uncultured bacterium. Its description in RNAcentral is "bacterial SSU rRNA". It matches the Rfam family "Bacterial small subunit ribosomal RNA", at positions 338 to 795 of the family's 1533-position model. The record is from RNAcentral.
CCUANGGGUGGCUGCAGUCGGGAAUCUUGGACAAUGGGGGAAACCCUGAUCCAGCCACGCCGCGUGGGUGAUGGAGGCCUUCGGGUCGUAAAGCCCUGUCAGAGGGGAAGAAACGGUCUUUUGCUAAUACCAACGGAUCUUGACGGUACCCUCAGAGGAAGCACCGGCUAACUACGUGCCAGCAGCCGCGGUAAUACGUAGGGUGCAAGCGUUGCUCGGAAUCACUGGGCGUAAAGGACGCGUAGGCGGUUCAGUAAGCGAGAUGUGAAAGCCCCUGGCUCAACCAGGGAAGUGCAUUUCGAACUGCUGGACUUGAGUCCGAGAGAGGGUGGUGGAAUUCCCGGUGGAACGGUGAAAUGUGUAGAUAUCGGGAGGAACAUCGGCGGCGAAGGCGGCCGCCUGGCUCGGUACUGACGCUGAGGCGUGAAAGCGUGGGUAGCAAACAGGAUUAGAUACCCGGNUANUC